UAGGGAAUCUUCCACAAUGGACGCAAGUCUGAUGGAGCAACGGCCGCGUGAGUGAAGAAGGUUUUCGGACCGUAAAGCUCUGUUGUUGGUGAAGAAGGAUAGAGGUAGUAACUGGCCUUUAUUUGACGGUAAUCAACCAGAAAGUCACGGCUAACUACGUGCCAGCAGCCGCGGUAAAUCGUAGGUGGCAAGCGUUGUCCGGAUUUAUUGGGCGUAAAGCGAGCGCAGGCGGAAGAAUAAGUCUGAUGUGAAAGCCCUCGGCUUAACCGAGGAAUUGCAUCGGAAACUGUUUUCUUGAGUGCAGAAGAGGAGAGUAGAACUCCAUGUGUAGCGGUGGAAUGCGUAGAUAUAUGGAAGAAUACCAGUGGCGAAGGCGGCUCUCUGGUCUGCAACUGACGCUGAGGCUCGAAAGCAUGGGUAGCGAACAGGAUUAGAUACCCUGGUAGUCCAUGCCGUAAACGAUGAGUGCUAAGUGUUGGGAGGCUUCCGCCUCUCAGUGCUGCAGCUAACGCAUUAAGCACUCCGCCUGGGGGAGUACGACCGC
This 544-nucleotide ribosomal RNA is filed under the name uncultured bacterium. RNAcentral's name for it is "partial 16S ribosomal RNA". It matches the Rfam family "Bacterial small subunit ribosomal RNA", at positions 355 to 889 of the family's 1533-position model. The record is from RNAcentral.